RNAcentral lists this long non-coding RNA (257 nucleotides) under Mytilus galloprovincialis (Mediterranean mussel). The record is from RNAcentral. Lineage: Eukaryota; Metazoa; Mollusca; Bivalvia; Mytilida; Mytilidae.
GUGUUGGUUUGUUUACUUAUUUCUAAGCGAGAAUCGAGUGUUUUUAAGACUUUACAACAUUAGUUCAUACGAAUUUUUUUAAUAACUUGAAAGAAUUAUUAUUUCCGUUAGUAUUUAACUUUAAUAAAACUUACUUUCAUUCAAAAAGUCAUGAAAAUAAAAUAAAAGACAACGUAAACAACCCAACACGUGUUUUCCUAUAAGAGUUAUCUUUUCUUGAUUUUCGUGACGUCACGACGAGAUUCAAUAUGGCCGAA